This 356-nucleotide long non-coding RNA is filed under the name Salvia miltiorrhiza (redroot sage). Its description in RNAcentral is "long non-coding RNA (SMIL_LNC003743)". The record is from RNAcentral. Lineage: Eukaryota; Viridiplantae; Streptophyta; Magnoliopsida; Lamiales; Lamiaceae.
AUAGUCCAUAAUUCCCAAUUUCCCAGAAUCCCAAAUUCGCCCAAAUUCGCUGGUUUGAAAUUCCCAUUUUCCCUUCCUUUCCCUAAUUCCCUUCGUCUUCGUGACUCGUCAGUCUCAGAGUCUCCGCCUCCCGCCCUGCUGUUCCAGGAUCUCCGGCCUCCCACCCAGCGCCCCUCGCCCGCCCGCCCGCCCGCCGUUGCCGUUUCCGCCGCCGCCUAGGACUUCGCCCCGCAGCAGCCCAGAUUCGAGACGGCGAGACUUCGCGAGUCGUUCCCGUCGUUCCGCCGCCGCCUAAGACUUCGCCCCGCAGCAGCCGCACCGCCUCCGAGCUCCAACAGCCGCUGCUUCUUCUUCUU